AUAUUUCUCUUUCUUAGAAUGGGUGAAGAGAAUUACAAGACGAGCCUCUAAUCUUCAAUACUCUAAUCGUUGAUGUUACUGGUAUCGUACUUAUAUUGAAACGUCACUAUGUCUGAACAGGUGCGAUCCAACUAUAUUUAUUUGUGAGAGAGAUGAUUCUGUUUGUCUACUUAUUCUUUCUUGCUAUUUUCAUGUUUCUACCACAUUUUUGCCCUUCUCAUUCUUAUAUUCAUUCAAGAUGCCCUUUAAAAUUCCAGAUUUCCAAGAUUAGAUAACUCAAAAGACAAGACAUGACUUGUUUCACAUAAAUAAAACCAGCAAUCCAUCGAUAAAGAAUUACAUUAGCAAUUCGAAUACUUACUCCGCUCCAAUAAUCCAAUAGACAUGCAAAUUAUUGUCCUUGAAGCUUGAUGGCGUUUUCAAUCAGCACACGUGGGUUGUGGGACCUAAUGUUUUUACAAUAAAAAGAAGAGAAUCCACUCUUCCUUGUUUUUCUCCUUUGGUUUUCCUUUUUCUACCCUAGUCCAUAUUAUAUCAAGUCUUGUCCAACCUCUGUUGUUUACCACACUCUUGCCCUUCUCAUUCUUAUAUUCAUUCGUUCUUGAUGCCCUCUCAUAUUCCAGCUUCCCAAGAUUAGAUAACUCAAAAGACUAGACAUUGACUUGUUUCACAUAAAUAAAACCAGCAAUCUGUCAUGAGCAGUAUUGUUGGGAAACCUUGUGAAAAAUUAGCAACUCGUUUCAUCGAUAAAGAAUUACAUUAGUGUAUGGAUCAAAAGGAAUCGUAAGAGGUCGACUAAGUCGUGGUUGUACCCAUAGGGUGUAAUAACAAUGAACAUCUUGGCUACUGUCAAGAUCGAGCCAUCUCAAAGCUCGUACGACAAAGUAAAUGUCGUGAUACUCGAGGGAGGCGAUGUGAAGUACAAGCAGGGGCGAAGGCAUUCUGGUUAAGGACCGUUGGACAAAAGGAAUACUGAGUAUAUACAGGAGAUAAGAAGAUAAGAAGAGGGGGCUUCUCUUCUAGAGAAUGGGGAGAUAGAGAAAAUCAAGAAAAGGCUUAGAUAGCAAAUAUAAAUUUCUGUAAUCGUGAUUAUCAAAUCAAGGAAGAUGGAUCUCAUUAUUCUUAUGGCGUUUCUUCUUUUCCGCCUUUAUCACCGUAUUAUAGUAUAGUAUGUCAAAAAUGUAAGCUUAUCGUCUAUAUAUGAUAUCUUAUAUCAUACUAUCAAAUUGAUAAACUUGAUUAUUACUUAUUCUCGUAUUUGACGUGC
Molecule: long non-coding RNA, 1267 nt
Filed under: Nicotiana benthamiana
Lineage: Eukaryota; Viridiplantae; Streptophyta; Magnoliopsida; Solanales; Solanaceae
Description: long non-coding RNA (NBEN_LNC039867)
Source: RNAcentral